This 253-nucleotide ribosomal RNA is filed under the name uncultured bacterium. Its description in RNAcentral is "partial 16S ribosomal RNA". It matches the Rfam family "Bacterial small subunit ribosomal RNA", at positions 524 to 776 of the family's 1533-position model. The record is from RNAcentral.
UACAGAGGGUGCGAGCGUUAAUCGGAAUUACUGGGCGUAAAGCGUGCGUAGACGGUUACGUAAGUCGGAUGUGAAAGCCCCGGGCUCAACCGGGGAAUUGCAUUCGAGACUGCGUAGCUAGGAUGCGGAAGAGGGAAGCGGAAUUUCCGGUGUAGCGGUGAAAUGCGUAGAUAUCGGAAGGAACACCAGUGGCGAAAGCGGCUUCCUGGUCCAGCAUCGACGUUCAGGCACGAAAGCGUGGGGAGCAAACAGG